AUUGAACGCUGGCGGCAUGCCUAACACAUGCAAGUCGAACGGCAGCACAGGGGAGCUUGCUCCUUGGGUGGCGAGUGGCGGACGGGUGAGUAAUGCAUCGGGAUCUACCCUGACGUGGGGGAUAACCUCGGGAAACCGGGACUAAUACCGCAUACGUCCUACGGGAGAAAGCGGGGGACCUUCGGGCCUCGCGCGGCAGG
This 200-nucleotide ribosomal RNA is filed under the name uncultured bacterium. Its description in RNAcentral is "partial 16S ribosomal RNA". It matches the Rfam family "Bacterial small subunit ribosomal RNA", at positions 30 to 224 of the family's 1533-position model. The record is from RNAcentral.